CACAGAGUCUAGCAAUAGCAAAGAAAUAAAGUAGUUCACGCAAUGCAGUUCAUGCAUAUAUAGCAAUGUAAUAUGCGUGAUUAUACGUAUAUAUAUAUAUAUAUAUAUUACAAAUUUACAUAUUUUUUAUAUUCUCAUUUUGCAUAUUUUGAUAAUUGAUAUUUAUUUUAACCUGGGGAGAUCUACUAACGUUACCAUAACACUCAGGUAACGUCAUGCUGCCAUUGUGUGGGAAAGGCUUUUGAUUGGUUUAUUAAUCCUUUACCAGGCUCCAAGUUAUUAGCAGUUUUAUGCCUGAUGAAACCACAAUACUAGCUAAGCAAAACGUUGCAUAUUCUGCUAAAUGUUUUAUUAUAGCCCAUGUUGAGCUUUUUAUUACUGUUUUUAAUACACAUUUUGUAUGUUUCACUUGGAUGUGGCUUUUGGAUCACUUAUAGAGUUGGGAGUUAGGAGCUCAGUGGGUUGAACCACUGUUAUUUAGCACAUUGGAGUGCUGCAGCAUUUUUGAGUGCACAUUUGUCUGUUUUCCUAUUUUGCUUUAUUGUCAUGGGUGAUUUAUGCCAUAUGGUGCAAUAUUUGAUUUGAUGUUUUGUAAUUGCAUCAGGAAGAACACUGGUUAAUAAAAAAAAUUGCUACCUCUUGGUGUGGAUGUUAUUCACACCGUUUUCUUGUAGAACAUAUCAUAUUUAGGUGCGCCCCCUGUUAUUACCUAAUGGGGAAUUAUUUUGGGGGAUCCCCAUUACAUAAUACUAUUGGGCCUAUUUACUAUGGUGCGAGCGAUCGCACCAUAUGAUGCUGUCGGCAUUUAUCAUUGCACCAGCAGUUCUUGUGAACUGCCGGCGCAAUGCCGCUCCCUGCAGAUUAUCAGCCAAUCAUAUGGAGGUAAAGCCUGAUGAAACGGCAUUGUUAGCCGAGAAACGCGUUGCAAAGCAACUUUUAAAUGUUUUUAUUAAACUGAACUUUUUAUCACUCUUCCUUGCUCCUGUGGGUUUGUGAUCACCCAUAACCAACAGCUUUUGGAUCCCGUAUUCAGCUGUUUGUUGCAGCCUAUCACGGAGGUCGUCUAGAGAAACCGGAUCCUCGUUACCAUCACCUGGGCAUCAGCAUUUGUUUGGCAGAGUCGCCAUUGAGGAGUCAGCCGAACGGCUCUGAAGUUUCGGUCUAUCUAUUAUUGCACUGCAUGUGCAUAUAUGUUUGACACCUUUACUUUCUGCUUACAACUUGGAGAGAGCAGCUUACCAUUGGAUUGAUGAACUUUACAUUAUAUUUUUAACCUAUCUUGGGUUAACACUUACUUUAAGAGACUUUAUUUAUAUAUUAUUUAUUUUUUAUGUUUGUUUAUUCAUUUUCAUUUAUUAAUAUAUUUUGGCACAAUUUUUAUUAAUUAAGUUUACAACUGGUA
Molecule: long non-coding RNA, 1402 nt
Organism: Bombina bombina (fire-bellied toad)
Lineage: Eukaryota; Metazoa; Chordata; Amphibia; Anura; Bombinatoridae
Exons: 2
Source: RefSeq, a predicted model, not a curated record